CUUCCUCCCCACCCCCUGCCAUAAUAAAAGCUCAUCUAUUUGUGGUGGUGGUGGUCAUUUUAUAAGAGCUUAGAUGAAAGAAGAGUCCAUUGCUGGAAACCUUUGGGAUCCUACUGCUAAUCACAUCAAAAUUGUAGAAGAAAUCAAUUAAGAAGAAUCGAACAAGAACUUUGGGAAAGUGGUGUUCAAGACUUAAAUCAAUCCUUGGACCACUGAACUUUCACCAACAAGAAGCUGAGAAAGCUGUAUAGCCUCCAAAAGCCCACUUCAGAUUUAGUUAUGGAGGAUAAUAAAAAAAGAUUUAAGUUACUGUAAUAGGCUGAAUAAUUGUCCCUAAAGAUAACAGGUCCUAGUCCCUGGAACCUGUGUUACCUUAUAUUAAAAAAUGGUCUCUGCAGGUAUGACUAACAAAAGGAUCUUGAGAUAGAUUGUCUUGGGUUAUGCAGAUGGGCCCUAAGUACAAUUUCCUGAGCUAAAAUCAAGAGUCAGAUGCUGAACCGACUGAGCCACCCAGAUGCCCCAAGAGAUUAUUUUAAGUUAUUCAACAAAUAUUUAUUAAGGGAAUACCAGGAUAAACAAGAUGGACGUGUUACCUGCUUUCAUGCAUCUUAUAUUCUAGGUAGGGAAGAGAGUGUUCAAUAAACAACUAAAUCAGAGGAUUGAAAGUUGUGUACAGAAAUUCAAUAUUUAGUUGGAAUACAGAGUACCUGAGUGGCCAAUGACAGCCUAAGAGACUGGCUAUUGAGAUGAGGCCCAAAUGUCAAUAAGAAGCCAGCUAUAUGAAAAUGAGAAGAGUACAUUCCAGGAAUAGAGAACAGUUCUGGAACUCCUAUCUGACUUGCUUCUCCUUAACAUACAAAGGAUUAUACUUCCCCACCAUCUUGCAAGUACAUGGGGUAAUGGACAAGUUCUGGAAAACUGGUUAUGAGAAAAAGUGAUAGAAACAACUUUCUGGCUGAUGUAUGACCCUCUCUUCUACUACAAUAGAUAUUGAUGAAGUUGCAUACCGAAAUUGUGGAAGCUCAAGAUUGAGGCUGCCUGAAUUACUGAGUCCUCAUCAUGGACAUCAGUUGUCUUAUGACCCUGAGGUUGGAACAAGUUUUGUAGCUUUCAGGAUGAGCUAGAAGACCAGAAGAAGAGUAGAGUGAGCAUGGGAAAACAGAGGUCAGAUCAUAAAGGCUUUGUAAACUGAGCACAUUGCAGGGAGCCACAUGCCUUUUGCUGAUUGAUGACGACCAGAAGAACUGGAUUGUCAUGUUAGCAUGAUGGAGACAUGCUUAGUAUUCACUUUAUUACGGUGGGCUGGAACUGAACCAUCAGUAUCUCCAAGGUAUCCCCAAAGAGGCUCUGGGUGAUCAGCACCUGGCAAAAGCUGGGAUGGUCUUCCCAAAGAAACACUUCCAUGAGAGUGAGACAGAAACAGUUUGAAGUCUAUUCAUCAUGGUUUGGUAUCCUGUGGAUUUCACUGGAAUGAAUCACUGUUGGGCUUCAGAAUGCUGCCCUGAGAAAAGUGGGCAGAGUGCUCUUUGAAUUAAAAACAAGGGUCUGGAAUACAUCUUGUGUUCCCCUGCCAGGCGCAGGGCUGUCUGUGGAGGAGGCUGAAUCUGCAGCAUGGUGGGCUUUCUUCCCACAGCUGCUAGGGGACUUUUCUGGGAAAUGAGAGAACAUAUUUGUCCAGACUUAAAACUUGUCACUUUUCAUACACUAGGUUAGGCUUGAGGUUGCCUGUUUUCAGGUUCUAGGCUUGGUUUUUAUUGACAAAAUAUAACUUCCAGCUAGGGGUAGGAGUGAGAAAGGAUGUGCUUUUAGAGGUGUAGGAUUAACAACAAAAAAAAGAGGGGCAUACCUGGGUGGUUCAGUCGGUUAAGCGGUUAAGUGUUCAAGUCUUGAUUUCAGCUCAGGUUAUAAUCUCAGGUCAUGAGAUGG
Molecule: long non-coding RNA, 1926 nt
Organism: Canis lupus familiaris (dog)
Lineage: Eukaryota; Metazoa; Chordata; Mammalia; Carnivora; Canidae
Exons: 6
Source: RefSeq, a predicted model, not a curated record